This 167-nucleotide ribosomal RNA is filed under the name Bacillus sp. (in: firmicutes). RNAcentral's name for it is "Bacillus sp. (in: Bacteria) partial 16S ribosomal RNA". It matches the Rfam family "Bacterial small subunit ribosomal RNA", at positions 60 to 223 of the family's 1533-position model. Lineage: Bacteria; Bacillati; Bacillota; Bacilli; Caryophanales; Bacillaceae. The record is from RNAcentral.
UGCAGUCGAGCGGACUGAUGGGAGCUUGCUCCCAUCAGUCAGCGGCGGACGGGUGAGUAACACGUGGGUAACCUGCCUGUAAGACUGGGAUAACUCCGGGAAACCGGGGCUAAUACCGGAUAACUCAUUUCCUCGCAUGAGGAAAUGUUGAAAGAUGGCUUCUUGCA